This 206-nucleotide ribosomal RNA is filed under the name uncultured bacterium. Its description in RNAcentral is "partial 16S ribosomal RNA". It matches the Rfam family "Bacterial small subunit ribosomal RNA", at positions 568 to 774 of the family's 1533-position model. The record is from RNAcentral.
UGCGUAGGUGGUUUCUUAAGUCAGAGGUGAAAGGCUACGGCUCAACCGUAGUAAGCCUUUGAAACUGGGAAACUUGAGUGCAGGAGAGGAGAGUGGAAUUUCUAGUGUAGCGGUGAAAUGCGUAGAUAUUAGGAGGAACACCAGUUGCGAAGGCGGCUCUCUGGACUGUAACUGACACUGAGGCACGAAAGCGUGGGGAGCAAACA